RNAcentral lists this ribosomal RNA (878 nucleotides) under uncultured marine group I thaumarchaeote. RNAcentral describes it as "SSU rRNA". It matches the Rfam family "Archaeal small subunit ribosomal RNA", at positions 23 to 906 of the family's 1478-position model. The record is from RNAcentral. Lineage: Archaea; Thermoproteati; Nitrososphaerota.
CUGACUGCUAUCGGAUGAUACUAAGCCAUGCGAGUCUUUGUAGUAAUACAAGGCAGACGGCUCAGUAACACGUAGUCAACCUACCCUAUGGACAAGAAUAAUCUCGGGAAACUGGGCAUAAUUCUUGAUAGAUCAUAAUGCCUGGAAUGGUUUAUGGUUAAAAUGAUUCGUCGCCAUAGGAUGGGACUGCGGCCUAUCAGCUUGUUGGUGAGGUAAUGGCCCACCAAGGCGAUUACAGGUACGGGCUCUGAGAGGAGAAGCCCGGAGAUGGGUACUGAGACACGGACCCAGGCCCUAUGGGGCGCAGCAGGCGAGAAAACUUUGCAAUGUGCGAAAGCACGACAAGGUUAAUCCGAGUGAUUUCUGCUAAAGAAAUCUUUUGCCAGUCAUAAAACCACUGGUGAAUAAGGGGUGGGCAAGUUCUGGUGUCAGCCGCCGCGGUAAAACCAGCACCUCAAGUGGUCAGGAUGAUUAUUGGGCCUAAAGCAUCCGUAGCCUGCUUUGUAAGUUUUCGGUUAAAUCCAUGUGCUCAACGCAUGGGCUGCCGAAAAUACUGCAUGGCUAGGGAGUGGGAGAGGUAGACGGUACUCAGUAGGAAGGGGUAAAAUCCUUUGAUCUAUUGAUGACCACCUGUGGCGAAGGCGGUCUACCAGAACACGUUCGACGGUGAGGGAUGAAAGCUGGGGGAGCAAACCGGAUUAGAUACCCGGGUAGUCCCAGCUGUAAACGAUGCAGACUCGAUGAUGCAUUGGCAUAAUAGCCAGUGCAGUGUCGCAGGGAAGCCGUUAAGUCUGCCGCCUGGGAAGUACGUACGCAAGUAUGAAACUUAAAGGAAUUGGCGGGGGAGCACCACAAGGGGGUGAAGCCUGCGGUUCAAU